GGACGUUGUCUAGGCUAUGGGCUCUCAGAGCAUCUCCAACUCAACGUGGAGGAAUCUGGUGCCGCCGAGAAUGGGGUGACAAUGGGAUCGCACACACGCAGAGGCAGAUGCCUGGACUGUGCGUGCUGAUUCCUGCUGGGCCCCUGGCUGAUUCUGCUACGCAACCAAUGUGGCCCGCGUACCCACUCCCACUCGAGACCCUGAAGGACUGUGUGGAUGGAAAAGCUCAAACUCCGAGUCCAGAUCCUAACAGCUAAUGCUAUUGAGUACUUCCAUAUGCUGAUUACUGUGCAAGUUGCCUUCCACAUUAUUCCAUGGAAUCUUCACAAAAUCUCUAGAGGGGAACUAAAACGUGACUAUUGGAAUUACAGGAGUGGAGGAAAAUCGAGGAGAUGUUUUGAAAGCCAAGGGCGAAUCUAGCAGACAUGUAGCAAAUUGACCUCUGUAACAAUCAAGGAGACAACAGAAGGAAAGUAAGCACUAACUGGGCUCCAGUUCUGUCUCAAGCGCUCUGCUGGACUAGGUUGCCAUGGUUGGUAAAUAAAACAGUCUUUGGGACCCUGAUUCCAAAUAAUGAAAAGUAUCUCAUAGCAGAUUAAAUACUCAAGGUCUGGAAAUUUUUAAAUAGCAUUAUUUAAAGCCAGAACAUAAACUGGAGUAACAAAUUCAAUGCUAGUCAGCUCAGCAUCAUUUGUGGGGAAAUACCAGGAACGGUUGUGAAGGGAACAACUUGAUAAACAUUAAGGUAAUUUGAUUAGAAACAUGCAAUAUAUGCUUCUGAUGGGAGAAAAUAUUCUAACAGCUCACUGGUUGGCUUCCUUUGAAAUCAUUUACUGCCAUGGUUUCUGAGUUUAGACCAACAUCCCUCCUGUUAACGAUAAUGGAUUAGGAGCACUAACCAUAUGAUAGCUAAUAGCUUAAGACUUUUUUUCAAGUGUGGAGGUAGAACAAAGCAUAAAAAUGAUGGAAAUAUAAUGUUGAAGGUGAAAGAGACAGUAAGGAGGGAUAUAUAGCUUAAAUCUGAGAACCCCCCAGGUAAAAUGUGUAUUUUUAAAUUUCCACAGAGUUUGCAUUUGGAAUAUAUACAGGUAUCUGCAUCUUUUCAAGAACACUGUAUGGAAAACAAAACUUAUUGCAAAAUUUUUUUUUCAUCGGUUGAUAAUAUGAAGCAAUAUUAGGCAAAUGGAUACAUUCUAGUAGGACUGCAGUUAUAUUUGUGAUGUCUAUCUGGGAAUUUAAAAAUGAUGAUGCUCAAGGAAAGAAUGCACUCAAACUGUGAGUGCAUAAAUACACUAGGAAUCAUUAAAUGAAGAUGGUUAAGUAGAGUUGUGUAGGACUCGAACUCUGGGGAUGAACUUUCCUCAGUGCCUUUGAUAGCUCAUGGCACAUUCAUCCCCUCGGAAUUUCUCUUGACUCUGAUCAAGGGCUCUGGUUGGCAAUGCUCUGCCUACAAGUCGAAUGCUAAAGGGUGGCUGAGCAUGACUUCUCUCCAGCCUGAGAGCCAAAUGGGACACAAGGAUGUCCAGCUCUCUCUCCAGGAACUCUCUAAAGGCUCUGAGGAGCAGGUGGGAGGGGCACGACCAGCCAUCCUAGGUCAGCUCCACAUCAGAUUCACUUCACUGUGGAUGUGGAAUCACCCUCUCUCACAUUGGUUCAACCACCACCACUCCCAACUCCCGGAGCCUCACACACUGUCCUUGGAUGCCCACAUUCCAUCCCACCCCAAGGCAGCCAACUCACAUCAGUGUUUUGCUUCAUUUCCAAGGGCGAAUGCCUGCCUUCCUCUAGCAGUAACCUGUUAUGUGAUCCUGAGCAAACUGUAUCAUUUAUCACUGUCUUGUGGCAACCACAGCCAUCUCCGAGUACUCUAGUUCCAUGAAGUGCCAUCCUUCAACCCACCUACAAAAGUAUCAUUCCCUCCAUCCUCUCAGGGACCUUUCUAAAACAUCUACCAGGUGAGAAUUGUAACAUUCCCACUUGACCAGGUUACCUGGGGGAUGAAUUAAGCUAAUUCAUGCCGAAAGCUGUGGAAAUAGUUGAAAUUACUGCACAACCUCAAAAGAAGACGUGUUUUAACUCUGCCAUUUUCUAUGGGAUCAGCUGGGUUUUUUUUUUAAACUUCCUAGAGGAGAAAUUUAAGCGAUAUUGUUAUAAACAAUCUCUAAACAUUUAACGUUGUUACAAAAGACAACUUGAUACGUGAAGCCUCCUAUUUGUUCACUCUUCACUACAAAGCUAGGAACUAAAUGCUGAAAUGAGGAUUAAUGAUAUGAAGACAUUUGAUUCUUAAAUCUUUGAUAGCUCAUGCUAUGUUUUAUUAAUCUCUGUCUCCCUAGGAUCUAGCCAAGUGCUGAUCCCACAAUAGAAGCUUCAUAGGUAAUUCUUGGAUUAAUUAAGGAAUAUUCUCCAGGCCACACAGCUCAUCAAAAUAAUACAGACCGUCAGCUUCUUAUUUUUCUAUGAAGAAAAAAAGCACACAGUGAAUUCCCUCCAUGUAAAUGUUUGUGAGAUGCUAAGCAUCUUCCUGAAGAACUAUGGGACUUACCUCCUAUUGCCUAUUUCUUUUUUUUUAAGUUUAUUAAUUUAUUUUGAGAGAGAGAGAGUGAGCAGGGGAGGGCAGAGAGAAAGGGAGAGAGAGAGAGAGAGAGAAUCCCAAGCAGGCUCUCACUGUCAGCACAGAGCCCAAUGUUGAGCUCAAACCCACGAAGUGUGAGAUCAUGACCUGAGCCGAAACCAAGAGCCCGGCGCUUAACUGACUGAGCCACCCAGGAGCCCCGGCGUCACUGUUUCUAGUGACAAGGACCAUUCCCCACUUCCCUCAAAUACACAUGAAUGCCUUUUAUUUCUCUUCUGAUGGUUAGGGCAUUUUCUGUCAUGGAGAUGGGCAGAAUGGGGGCACCCAUGCCAACUUCAUGAACAGGCCUAAUGCAAUGUCUGGGUGGCAUACCAGUUUGUAUUAGUGAAACUAAAAGGAAAAAGGCUUGGAAGUUAAUUCGAUAAAGAAAGCUCCUUAUCCAGAUGCUGAAAUGACUGAGAAGCCAUGUGGCGUUUCACCGUUCCCAGGAAGAAUCUUCAAUUUGGUCAGA
This is a long non-coding RNA of Acinonyx jubatus (cheetah), 3086 nucleotides long. RefSeq lists it as uncharacterized. The transcript has 4 exons. The record is from RefSeq and is a predicted model, not a curated record. NCBI's taxonomy places the organism in Eukaryota, Metazoa, Chordata, Mammalia, Carnivora, Felidae.